GAUUAUGGCUCAGGAUGAACGCUGGCGGCGUGCUUAACACAUGCAAGUCGAACGGAGUUAUAUGAAACCUAGUGAUUAUAAACUUAGUGGCGGACGGGUGAGUAACGCGUGGGUAACCUGCCUUAUACCGGGGGACAACAGUUAGAAAUGACUGCUAAUACCGCAUAAGCGCACGGUGUCGCAUGACACAGUGUGAAAAACUCCGGUGGUAUAAGAUGGACCCGCGUCUGAUUAGCCAGUUGGUGAGGUAACGGCCCACCAAAGCAACGAUCAGUAGCCGGCCUGAGAGGGUGAACGGCCACAUUGGGACUGAGACACGGCCCAAACUCCUACGGGAGGCAGCAGUGGGGAAUAUUGGACAAUGGGGGAAACCCUGAUCCAAGCGACGCCGCGUGAGUGAAGAAGUAUUUCGGUAUGUAAAGCUCUAUCAGCAAGGAAGAUAAUGACGGUACUUGACUAAGAAGCCCCGGCUAACUACGUGCCAGCCGCCGC
This 492-nucleotide ribosomal RNA is filed under the name uncultured bacterium. RNAcentral's name for it is "bacterial SSU rRNA". It matches the Rfam family "Bacterial small subunit ribosomal RNA", at positions 15 to 518 of the family's 1533-position model. The record is from RNAcentral.